Molecule: ribosomal RNA, 252 nt
Filed under: uncultured bacterium
Lineage: Bacteria
Description: partial 16S ribosomal RNA
Rfam family: Bacterial small subunit ribosomal RNA
Source: RNAcentral
UACGGGGGGGCAAGCGUUGUUCGGAAUUACUGGGCGUAAAGGGCUCGUAGGCGGCCAACUAAGUCAGACGUGAAAUCCCCAGGCUCAACCUGGGAACUGCGUCUGAUACUGGAUGGCUUGAAUCCGGGAGAGGGAUGCAGAAUUCCAGGUGUAGCGGUGAAAUGCGUAGAUAUCUGGAGGAAUACCGGUGGCGAAGGCGGCAUCCUGGACCGGCAUUGACGCUGAGGAGCGAAAGCCAGGGGAGCAAACGGG